UGAACGCUGGCGGCGUGCCUACUACAUGCAAGUCGAGCGAACAGACGAGGAGCUUGCUCCUCUGACGUUAGCGGCGGACGGGUGAGUAACACGUGGAUAACCUACCUAUAAGACUGGGAUAACUUCGGGAAACCGGAGCUAAUACCGGAUAAUAUAUUGAACCGCAUGGUUCAAUAGUGAAAGACGGUUUUGCUGUCACUUAUAGAUGGAUCCGCGCCGCAUUAGCUAGUUGGUAAGGUAACGGCUUACCAAGGCAACGAUGCGUAGCCGACCUGAGAGGGUGAUCGGCCACACUGGAACUGAGACACGGUCCAGACUCCUACGGGAGGCAGCAGUAGGGAAUCUUCCGCAAUGGGCGAAAGCCUGACGGAGCAACGCCGCGUGAGUCAUGAAGGUCUUCGGAUCGUAAAACUCUGUUAUUAGGGAAGAACAAAUGUGUAAGUAACUAUGCACGUCUUGACGGUACCUAAUCAGAAAGCCACGGCUAACUACGUG
RNAcentral lists this ribosomal RNA (495 nucleotides) under uncultured bacterium. RNAcentral's name for it is "partial 16S ribosomal RNA". It matches the Rfam family "Bacterial small subunit ribosomal RNA", at positions 30 to 507 of the family's 1533-position model. The record is from RNAcentral.